GUAGGUGGCAAGCGUUGUCCGGAAUUAUUGGGCGUAAAGCGCGCGCAGGCGGUUCUUUAAGUCUGAUGUGAAAGCCCACGGGCUCAACCGUGGAGGGUCAUUGGAAACUGGAGAACUUGAGUACAGAAGAGGAAAGCGGAAUUCCACGUGUAGCGGUGAAAUGCGUAGAGAUGUGGAGGAACACCAGUGGCGAAGGCGGCUUUCUGGUCUGUAACUGACGCUGAGGCGCGAAAGCGUGGGGAGCAAACAGGAUUAGAUACCCUGGUAGUCCACGCCGUAAACGAUGAGUGCUAAGUGUUAGGGGGUUUCCGCCCCUUAGUGCUGCAGCUGACGCAUUAAGCACUCCGCCUGGGGAGUACGGCCGCAAGGCUG
RNAcentral lists this ribosomal RNA (372 nucleotides) under uncultured organism. Its description in RNAcentral is "partial 16S ribosomal RNA". It matches the Rfam family "Bacterial small subunit ribosomal RNA", at positions 527 to 896 of the family's 1533-position model. The record is from RNAcentral.